AGCGUACACGGUGGAUGCCCUGGCAGUCAGAGGCGAUGAAGGACGUGCUAAUCUGCGAUAAGCGUCGGUAAGGUGAUAUGAACCGUUAUAACCGGCGAUUUCCGAAUGGGGAAACCCAGUGUGUUUCGACACACUAUCAUUAACUGAAUCCAUAGGUUAAUGAGGCGAACCGGGGGAACUGAAACAUCUAAGUACCCCGAGGAAAAGAAAUCAACCGAGAUUCCCCCAGUAGCGGCGAGCGAACGGGGAGGAGCCCAGAGCCUGAAUCAGUGUGUGUGUUAGUGGAAGCGUCUGGAAAGGCGCGCGAUACAGGGUGACAGCCCCGUACACAAAAAUGCACAUGCUGUGAGCUCGAUGAGUAGGGCGGGACACGUGGUAUCCUGUCUGAAUAUGGGGGGACCAUCCUCCAAGGCUAAAUACUCCUGACUGACCGAUAGUGAACCAGUACCGUGAGGGAAAGGCGAAAAGAACCCCGGCGAGGGGAGUGAAAAAGAACCUGAAACCGUGUACGUACAAGCAGUGGGAGCACGCUUAGGCGUGUGACUGCGUACCUUUUGUAUAAUGGGUCAGCGACUUAUAUUCUGUAGCAAGGUUAACCGAAUAGGGGAGCCGAAGGGAAACCGAGUCUUAACUGGGCGUUAAGUUGCAGGGUAUAGACCCGAAACCCGGUGAUCUAGCCAUGGGCAGGUUGAAGGUUGGGUAACACUAACUGGAGGACCGAACCGACUAAUGUUGAAAAAUUAGCGGAUGACUUGUGGCUGGGGGUGAAAGGCCAAUCAAACCGGGAGAUAGCUGGUUCUCCCCGAAAGCUAUUUAGGUAGCGCCUCGUGAAUUCAUCUCCGGGGGUAGAGCACUGUUUCGGCAAGGGGGUCAUCCCGACUUACCAACCCGAUGCAAACUGCGAAUACCGGAGAAUGUUAUCACGGGAGACACACGGCGGGUGCUAACGUCCGUCGUGAAGAGGGAAACAACCCAGACCGCCAGCUAAGGUCCCAAAGUCAUGGUUAAGUGGGAAACGAUGUGGGAAGGCCCAGACAGCCAGGAUGUUGGCUUAGAAGCAGCCAUCAUUUAAAGAAAGCGUAAUAGCUCACUGGUCGAGUCGGCCUGCGCGGAAGAUGUAACGGGGCUAAACCAUGCACCGAAGCUGCGGCAGCGACGCUUAUGCGUUGUUGGGUAGGGGAGCGUUCUGUAAGCCUGUGAAGGUGUGCUGUGAGGCAUGCUGGAGGUAUCAGAAGUGCGAAUGCUGACAUAAGUAACGAUAAAGCGGGUGAAAAGCCCGCUCGCCGGAAGACCAAGGGUUCCUGUCCAACGUUAAUCGGGGCAGGGUGAGUCGACCCCUAAGGCGAGGCCGAAAGGCGUAGUCGAUGGGAAACAGGUUAAUAUUCCUGUACUUGGUGUUACUGCGAAGGGGGGACGGAGAAGGCUAUGUUGGCCGGGCGACGGUUGUCCCGGUUUAAGCGUGUAGGCUGGUUUUCCAGGCAAAUCCGGAAAAUCAAGGCUGAGGCGUGAUGACGAGGCACUACGGUGCUGAAGCAACAAAUGCCCUGCUUCCAGGAAAAGCCUCUAAGCAUCAGGUAACAUCAAAUCGUACCCCAAACCGACACAGGUGGUCAGGUAGAGAAUACCAAGGCGCUUGAGAGAACUCGGGUGAAGGAACUAGGCAAAAUGGUGCCGUAACUUCGGGAGAAGGCACGCUGAUAUGUAGGUGAAGUCCCUCGCGGAUGGAGCUGAAAUCAGUCGAAGAUACCAGCUGGCUGCAACUGUUUAUUAAAAACACAGCACUGUGCAAACACGAAAGUGGACGUAUACGGUGUGACGCCUGCCCGGUGCCGGAAGGUUAAUUGAUGGGGUUAGCGCAAGCGAAGCUCUUGAUCGAAGCCCCGGUAAACGGCGGCCGUAACUAUAACGGUCCUAAGGUAGCGAAAUUCCUUGUCGGGUAAGUUCCGACCUGCACGAAUGGCGUAAUGAUGGCCAGGCUGUCUCCACCCGAGACUCAGUGAAAUUGAACUCGCUGUGAAGAUGCAGUGUACCCGCGGCAAGACGGAAAGACCCCGUGAACCUUUACUAUAGCUUGACACUGAACAUUGAGCCUUGAUGUGUAGGAUAGGUGGGAGGCUUAGAAGUGUGGACGCCAGUCUGCAUGGAGCCGACCUUGAAAUACCACCCUUUAAUGUUUGAUGUUCUAACGUUGACCCGUAAUCCGGGUUGCGGACAGUGUCUGGUGGGUAGUUUGACUGGGGCGGUCUCCUCCUAAAGAGUAACGGAGGAGCACGAAGGUUGGCUAAUCCUGGUCGGACAUCAGGAGGUUAGUGCAAUGGCAUAAGCCAGCUUGACUGCGAGCGUGACGGCGCGAGCAGGUGCGAAAGCAGGUCAUAGUGAUCCGGUGGUUCUGAAUGGAAGGGCCAUCGCUCAACGGAUAAAAGGUACUCCGGGGAUAACAGGCUGAUACCGCCCAAGAGUUCAUAUCGACGGCGGUGUUUGGCACCUCGAUGUCGGCUCAUCACAUCCUGGGGCUGAAGUAGGUCCCAAGGGUAUGGCUGUUCGCCAUUUAAAGUGGUACGCGAGCUGGGUUUAGAACGUCGUGAGACAGUUCGGUCCCUAUCUGCCGUGGGCGCUGGAGAACUGAGGGGGGCUGCUCCUAGUACGAGAGGACCGGAGUGGACGCAUCACUGGUGUUCGGGUUGUCAUGCCAAUGGCACUGCCCGGUAGCUAAAUGCGGAAGAGAUAAGUGCUGAAAGCAUCUAAGCACGAAACUUGCCCCGAGAUGAGUUCU
This 2773-nucleotide ribosomal RNA is filed under the name Escherichia coli. RNAcentral describes it as "bacterial LSU rRNA". It matches the Rfam family "Bacterial large subunit ribosomal RNA". The record is from RNAcentral. Lineage: Bacteria; Pseudomonadati; Pseudomonadota; Gammaproteobacteria; Enterobacterales; Enterobacteriaceae.